AUUGAACGCUAGCGGGAUGCCUUACACAUGCAAGUCGAACGGCAGCACGGACUUCGGUCUGGUGGCGAGUGGCGAACGGGUGAGUAAUGUAUCGGAACGUGCCUAGUAGCGGGGGAUAACUACGCGAAAGCGUAGCUAAUACCGCAUACGCCCUACGGGGGAAAGCAGGGGAUCGCAAGACCUUGCACUAUUAGAGCGGCCGAUAUCGGAUUAGCUAGUUGGUGGGGUAACGGCUCACCAAGGCGACGAUCCGUAGCUGGUUUGAGAGGACGACCAGCCACACUGGGACUGAGACACGGCCCAGACUCCUACGGGAGGCAGCAGUGGGGAAUUUUGGACAAUGGGGGAAACCCUGAUCCAGCCAUCCCGCGUGUGCGAUGAAGGCCUUCGGGUUGUAAAGCACUUUUGGCAGGAAAGAAACGUCAUGGGUUAAUACCCCGUGAAACUGACGGUACCUGCAGAAUAAGCACCGGCUAACUACGUGCCAGCAGCCGCGGUAAUACGUAGGGUGCAAGCGUUAAUCGGAAUUACUGGGCGUAAAGCGUGCGCAGGCGGUUCGGAAAGAAAGAUGUGAAAUCCCAGAGCUUAACUUUGGAACUGCAUUUUUAACUACCGAGCUAGAGUGUGUCAGAGGGAGGUGGAAUUCCGCGUGUAGCAGUGAAAUGCGUAGAUAUGCGGAGGAACACCGAUGGCGAAGGCAGCUUCCUGGGAUAACACUGACGCUCAUGCACGAAAGCGUGGGGAGCAAACAGG
RNAcentral lists this ribosomal RNA (753 nucleotides) under uncultured Achromobacter sp. RNAcentral describes it as "bacterial SSU rRNA". It matches the Rfam family "Bacterial small subunit ribosomal RNA", at positions 28 to 776 of the family's 1533-position model. The record is from RNAcentral. Lineage: Bacteria; Pseudomonadati; Pseudomonadota; Betaproteobacteria; Burkholderiales; Alcaligenaceae.